UGUCCAGCAACUCCUAUCCCUACCUCAUCGUGGUACUGGCCGGGAUUCAAACAACCUCAGGGAAGAUCGGGAAACCAACCAAGGUGGGAAUUUCGGUCAUAUGCUGACUGGGAAUG
RNAcentral lists this ribozyme (116 nucleotides) under Aedes aegypti (yellow fever mosquito). RNAcentral's name for it is "drz-agam-1 ribozyme". It matches the Rfam family "drz-agam-1 ribozyme". The record is from Rfam by way of RNAcentral. Lineage: Eukaryota; Metazoa; Arthropoda; Insecta; Diptera; Culicidae.